UUGAACGCUGGCGGCAUGCUUUACACAUGCAAGUCGAACGGUAACAGGGAGCUUGCUCCGCUGACGAGUGGCGAACGGGUGAGUAAUGCAUCGGAACGUACCCAGUCGUGGGGGAUAACGUAGCGAAAGUUACGCUAAUACCGCAUACGUCCUGAGGGAGAAAGCGGGGGACCGUAAGGCCUCGCGCGAUUGGAGCGGCCGAUGUCGGAUUAGCUAGUUGGUGGGGUAAAGGCCUACCAAGGCAACGAUCCGUAGCUGGUCUGAGAGGAUGAUCAGCCACACUGGGACUGAGACACGGCCCAGACUCCUACGGGAGGCAGCAGUGGGGAAUUUUGGACAAUGGGCGCAAGCCUGAUCCAGCCAUUCCGCGUGAGUGAAGAAGGCCUUCGGGUUGUAAAGCUCUUUCGGCAGGGAAGAAACGGCAGGCUCUAACAUAGCCUGCUAAUGACGGUACCUGAAGAAGAAGCACCGGCUAACUACGU
This 482-nucleotide ribosomal RNA is filed under the name uncultured bacterium. Its description in RNAcentral is "bacterial SSU rRNA". It matches the Rfam family "Bacterial small subunit ribosomal RNA", at positions 30 to 506 of the family's 1533-position model. The record is from RNAcentral.